UGGGGAAUAUUGCACAAUGGGCGAAAGCCUGAUGCAGCAACGCCGCGUGAGUGAUGAAGGCCUUCGGGUUGUAAAGCUCUGUCUUUUGGGACGAUAAUGACGGUACCAAAGGAGGAAGCCACGGCUAACUACGUGCCAGCAGCCGCGGUAAUACGUAGGUGGCAAGCGUUGUCCGGAUUUACUGGGCGUAAAGGAUGCGUAGGCGGAUUUUUAAGUGAGAUGUGAAAUACCCGGGCUUAACUUGGGUGCUGCAUUUCAAACUGGGAAUCUAGAGUGCGGGAGAGGAGAAUGGAAUUCCUAGUGUAGCGGUGAAAUGCGUAGAGAUUAGGAAGAACACCAGUGGCGAAGGCGAUUCUCUGGACCGUAACUGACGCUGAGGCAUGAAAGCGUGGGUAGCAAACAGGAUUAGAUACCCUGGUAGUCCACGCCGUAAACGAUGAGUACUAGGUGUAGGAGGCUAUCGACCCCUUCUGUGCCGCAGUUAACACAAUAAGUACUCCGCCUGGGAAGUACGAUCAGCAAGAUUAAAACUGCAAAGGAAUUGACGGGGUC
This 552-nucleotide ribosomal RNA is filed under the name uncultured bacterium. RNAcentral describes it as "partial 16S ribosomal RNA". It matches the Rfam family "Bacterial small subunit ribosomal RNA", at positions 355 to 920 of the family's 1533-position model. The record is from RNAcentral.